GAGAGAAAGUGAAACAGAGUGAGUACAUCUUUUAACUCUUUAAUCACCACAUUUGCAUGUGCAACUUAACAACAAAAUUUAAUUUAGGAAGAAUGCCAUGAAGUAGUUUUGUCUUAAUAGUUCGUGAAUAAAAAUUGAUUGAGGUGAUGGUGAAAACUUAAUUUUAAUUGAAGAAUCCUAUAGUAGAUAAGGUAGUAUGAGAUUCUAGUGUGAGGUUUAUAAGGUCUUCGACUCUUCAACUACUACUGCAGCUAGCUUUUUUGGUGGUGGAGUUCUUCCAUGGUUCUUGUCAAAAUAAUUUACAGCAAAUAUUCCCAAAAUAGGUUGUCUGCUUAAUACAAAUAACAUCUGAUAUAAAUAGAAAUAAAGUCAACUAAAUCAAAUUUGUAUCAGAUCUCCUGAAAUAUAUCUGUAAUAUAUUUACAUGUGUUUUUUUUUUGUCUUCGAAAUGCUUUUUCAGGAUGGAAAGGACGUAAGGAUGUGCAUUUGUGUGAGACUAAGGGGACACAUAGUAUAGGUGUCAUCUUUUUGCCCAGAUUUGUUUGCUAAACCACAACAGAACUAUUUGUUGUGUUGAGUGGCAAUUUGUUGAUGUUGUGCUAUGCUUUAGUCCCUAUAGUGGCAAGUUUGAUAAUGGACUGAAGUGUUUGCUGCGUAAUCAUCAUCCAAGUACGAUCGUCGCAUUUCAAGCUUUUUUAUGGAUGAUUCUGGAAAAAAGGAAACAAAUUUCUGUUCUGUUUCAUUCCUCUCAGACUUUUUGUGUUAAAAGCUGUUUUCUAAA
This 781-nucleotide long non-coding RNA is filed under the name Phaseolus vulgaris (common bean). RNAcentral describes it as "long non-coding RNA (PVUL_LNC003442)". Lineage: Eukaryota; Viridiplantae; Streptophyta; Magnoliopsida; Fabales; Fabaceae. The record is from RNAcentral.